RNAcentral lists this ribosomal RNA (352 nucleotides) under uncultured bacterium. RNAcentral describes it as "bacterial SSU rRNA". It matches the Rfam family "Bacterial small subunit ribosomal RNA", at positions 917 to 1269 of the family's 1533-position model. The record is from RNAcentral.
GGGCCCGCACAAGCGGUGGAGCAUGUGGUUUAAUUCGAUGCAACGCGAAGAACCUUACCAGGGUUUGACAUCCUGCGAAUCUCUUGGAAACGAGAGAGUGCCUUCGGGAGCGCAGUGACAGGUGGUGCAUGGCUGUCGUCAGCUCGUGUCGUGAGAUGUUGGGUUAAGUCCCGCAACGAGCGCAACCCACGUCUUUAGUUGCCAGCAUUUAGUUGGGCACUCUAGAGAGACCGCCGGUGAUAAACCCGGAGGAAGGUGUGGAUGACGUCAAGUCAUCAUGCCCCUUACAUCCUGGGCUACACACGUACUACAAUGCUACGGACAAAGAGCAGCAAGUUCGCAAGAAGGAGCG